RNAcentral lists this ribosomal RNA (982 nucleotides) under Gilliamella sp. RNAcentral's name for it is "bacterial SSU rRNA". It matches the Rfam family "Bacterial small subunit ribosomal RNA", at positions 54 to 1035 of the family's 1533-position model. Lineage: Bacteria; Pseudomonadati; Pseudomonadota; Gammaproteobacteria; Orbales; Orbaceae. The record is from RNAcentral.
CAUGCAAGUCGAACGGUAACAUAAGUGCUUGCACUUGAUGACGAGUGGCGGACGGGUGAGUAAUGUAUGGGGAUCUGCCGAAUGGAAGGGGACAACAGUUGGAAACGACUGCUAAUACCGUAUAAUGUCGCGAGACCAAAGCAUGGGACUUUCGGGCCAUGCGCCAUUUGAUGAACCCAUAUGGGAUUAGCUAGUAGGUGGGGUAAAGGCUCACCUAGGCGACGAUCUCUAGCUGGUCUGAGAGGAUGACCAGCCACACUGGAACUGAGACACGGUCCAGACUCCUACGGGAGGCAGCAGUGGGGAAUAUUGCACAAUGGGGGGAACCCUGAUGCAGCCAUGCCGCGUGUAUGAAGAAGGCCUUCGGGUUGUAAAGUACUUUCGGUGAUGAGGAAGGCGGUGUAUCUAAUAGGUGCAUCGAUUGACGUUAAUCACAGAAGAAGCACCGGCUAACUCCGUGCCAGCAGCCGCGGUAAUACGGAGGGUGCGAGCGUUAAUCGGAAUGACUGGGCGUAAAGGGCAUGUAGGCGGAUAGUUAAGUUAGGUGUGAAAUCCCUGGGCUCAACCUAGGAAUUGCAUUUAAAACUGGUUAUCUGGAGUAUUGUAGAGGAAGGUGGAAUUCCACGUGUAGCGGUGAAAUGCGUAGAGAUGUGGAGGAAUACCGGUGGCGAAGGCGGCCUUCUGGACAGAUACUGACGCUGAGAUGCGAAAGCGUGGGGAGCAAACAGGAUUAGAUACCCUGGUAGUCCACGCUGUAAACGAUGUCGAUUUGGAGUUUGUUGCCUAGAGUGAUGGGCUCCGAAGCUAACGCGAUAAAUCGACCGCCUGGGGAGUACGGCCGCAAGGUUAAAACUCAAAUGAAUUGACGGGGGCCCGCACAAGCGGUGGAGCAUGUGGUUUAAUUCGAUGCAACGCGAAGAACCUUACCUGGUCUUGACUCACAGAAUCUUGUAGAAUACGAGAGUGCCUUCGGGACUGUGAG